This 414-nucleotide ribosomal RNA is filed under the name uncultured Methanosaeta sp. RNAcentral's name for it is "bacterial SSU rRNA". It matches the Rfam family "Archaeal small subunit ribosomal RNA", at positions 927 to 1341 of the family's 1478-position model. Lineage: Archaea; Methanobacteriati; Methanobacteriota; Methanomicrobia; Methanotrichales; Methanotrichaceae. The record is from RNAcentral.
UUACCGGGACCGACAGCAAUAUGAAGGCCAGGCUGAAGACUUUGCCGGAUUAGCUGAGAGGUGGUGCAUGGCCGUCGUCAGUUCGUACUGUGAAGCAUCCUGUUAAGUCAGGCAACGAGCGAGACCCACGCCCACAGUUGCCAGCGUACUCUCCGGAGUGACGGGUACACUGUGGAGACCGCCGCUGAUAAAGCGGAGGAAGGAGCGGGCCACGGCAGGUCAGUAUGCCCCGAAUCUCCCGGGCCACACGCGAGCUGCAAUGGCAGGUACAAUGGGUCCCGACCUCGAAAGGGGAAGGCAAUCUCGAAAGCCUGCCGUAGUUGGGAUCGAGGGUUGUAACCCAUCCUCGUGAACAUGGAAUCCCUAGUAAUCGCGUGUCAUCAGCGCGCGGUGAAUACGUCCCUGCUCCUUGCA